RNAcentral lists this ribosomal RNA (732 nucleotides) under bacterium 176_xplvp289. RNAcentral's name for it is "bacterial SSU rRNA". It matches the Rfam family "Bacterial small subunit ribosomal RNA", at positions 49 to 767 of the family's 1533-position model. RNAcentral also lists the same sequence under 1 other name. The record is from RNAcentral.
CUAUACAUGCAGUCGAGCGGACUUAAAAAGCUUGCUUUUUAAGUUAGCGGCGGACGGGUGAGUAACACGUGGGCAACCUGCCUGUAAGACUGGGAUAACUUCGGGAAACCGGAGCUAAUACCGGAUAAUCCUUUUCUACUCAUGUAGAAAAGCUGAAAGACGGUUUACGCUGUCACUUACAGAUGGGCCCGCGGCGCAUUAGCUAGUUGGUGAGGUAACGGCUCACCAAGGCGACGAUGCGUAGCCGACCUGAGAGGGUGAUCGGCCACACUGGGACUGAGACACGGCCCAGACUCCUACGGGAGGCAGCAGUAGGGAAUCUUCCGCAAUGGACGAAAGUCUGACGGAGCAACGCCGCGUGAGUGAUGAAGGUUUUCGGAUCGUAAAACUCUGUUGUUAGGGAAGAACAAGUACGAGAGUAACUGCUCGUACCUUGACGGUACCUAACCAGAAAGCCACGGCUAACUACGUGCCAGCAGCCGCGGUAAUACGUAGGUGGCAAGCGUUGUCCGGAAUUAUUGGGCGUAAAGCGCGCGCAGGCGGUCCUUUAAGUCUGAUGUGAAAGCCCACGGCUCAACCGUGGAGGGUCAUUGGAAACUGGGGGACUUGAGUGCAGAAGAGAAGAGUGGAAUUCCACGUGUAGCGGUGAAAUGCGUAGAGAUGUGGAGGAACACCAGUGGCGAAGGCGACUCUUUGGUCUGUAACUGACGCUGAGGCGCGAAAGCGUGGGGA